Small nucleolar RNA from Colossoma macropomum (tambaqui), 73 nucleotides. RefSeq annotates it as small nucleolar RNA SNORD59. The record is from RefSeq and is a predicted model, not a curated record. Lineage: Eukaryota; Metazoa; Chordata; Actinopteri; Characiformes; Serrasalmidae. The transcript has a single exon.
GCUUCUGUGCUGAUUCAACAGUAAGACUUUCAUUCUUCUGAGUCUACCGAAGCCAGUGUCUGUUCUGAGAAGA